AUGGAAAAAGGGAAAGUAAAUGAUGAUGGAAAACCAGACCCAGAAAAUUCCUUGGACUUUUCUGAACACUUUAACCAACUUGAAUUGUUGGAAACACAUGGACACCUUAUUCCCACUGGUACCCAAAGUCUCUGGGUAGGGAAUUCUGACGAGGACGAGGAGCAAGAUGAAAAAACUGAAGAGUGGUAUCAACUGCAAGAAAAAAAGAUGGAAAAAUCCAAGCAAAUUGCUUCUUUGGGCUGCAGAAAAAAAUCGGCUUACCACAGUGCGGAGACUGCUGUCUAAAAGGCCACUCACGUGACCGCUAGAGAUGAAGAUGAAUAUACCCCUCUUCAUCGAGCAGCCUACAGUGGACACUUAGACGUGGUGUGUGAGCUGAUUGCACAAGGGGCGGAUGUCCACGCAGUGACUGUGGAUGGCUGGACACCCCUGCACAGUGCUUGUAAGUGGAAUAAUACCAGAGUAGCUUCUUUCUUACUCCAGCACGACACAGAUAUUAAUGCCUAAACAAAAGGCCUCUUGACCCCGUUAUAUCUCGCUGCCAGGAACAGGGACAGCAAAGAUACCCUGGAGCUCCUCCUGAUGAACCGCUACAUCAAACCAGGUCUGAAAAACAACUUGGAAGAAAUGGCCUUUGAUAUUGCCAGGAGGACAAGUAUCUAUCACUACCUCUUUGAAAUUGUGGAAGGCUGCACAAAUUCUUCACCUCAGCCAUAAUGGUUCUAAUAAUUUUCUUGAGUUUCCAAGUACCAGUGCCUCCUUUGUGUGAGAUAGGACAUAUCCCCAUGAUACAAGGUUGACAUCAAAAGUUUUAUGGUAGAAAUCCAGUGGUACACAUUCAAAUGCCCUUCCAAGCGACAUGCCUAAUCUUGAUGUCAAAAUACGUUUGAAAGUUGUUUGGAUACACCUUUACUGAUCUAUGUGGACUUUGUAUUUUUAUCAGAAAUGAUUUUAACACACUUAAAAACUUGUAACGGGUUGUACAGAAAACUAAUGAUAUUUUUGGUGCUGAUCCAAGAGAAGUGUAUUUUUAAAUAUUCCCCCAUCCUGGGUCUUUGUGGAGUAUUUAGUAUAUUGACAUGUAUUUUUAUAAGGUGAGGUAACUCAGAAUUUAAUUUAAAAAACUCAAGUAUACUGGCGCAGUUCAGCUGUCUUCUCCACAUCACUAUGGCCAUUUGCUUUCAUUUUAAACCGUAAGAACUAACUUAUUAGUGACUUGAAUUGUCAGAAGUUUAAGAAAACGUUAAAGAGCUUAGAUCUUUGUCUUUUAGAGCAUAGACCAUUUUCAGCAAAGUAGUUAGCUAGAGUGUUUAGUCCGUGAAUGUUAUAUACUUUGCCUCCGCUACCACAGUUCACACAAUCCUGUGGACAGUCCUACCUCACCCUGGUCAACCCACAUGAUCCUUCUUCCAUUGGUGAGUCGGCAUGACCUUUUAGACAUGCACACAACUCUACCUUGGUCCAAGAGAUCAUAAUAUAUCUGCUUGCCAACUGGUUUUACCUGCCUAAUCCUGUUUGUUCGGGGCACUGCUCAGAUGGUCUCUGUAGUUCACAGGAAGUAUCGAUUUUUCCAAGUCCUCCUUUUAUACAAAUCCUACAAAGGCAAAGAGACAAGGGAAAAGGAAUUCUAAGAGUUUAGGGAUGAUGAUUAUACUGGGGCUAGAUUAUAAGUGGCUCAGGCUUUAAAAAGCCACAGUGUGGAUGGUGACACAAGUAUAAAUAUGAAUAUUCAGAAAAAAAUAAAAGCUUUGAACAACAA
Odobenus rosmarus divergens (Pacific walrus) is the source of this 1759-nucleotide RNA transcript. It is a transcript of the gene named ankyrin repeat domain-containing protein 49-like, with no coding region annotated. The record is from RefSeq and is a predicted model, not a curated record. The transcript has 2 exons. NCBI's taxonomy places the organism in Eukaryota, Metazoa, Chordata, Mammalia, Carnivora, Odobenidae.